Molecule: long non-coding RNA, 4054 nt
Filed under: Oryza sativa (Asian cultivated rice)
Lineage: Eukaryota; Viridiplantae; Streptophyta; Magnoliopsida; Poales; Poaceae
Description: long non-coding RNA (OSAT_LNC001284)
Source: RNAcentral
GCUAUACCAAACAUGCUCUACAGACCAGCAACUCAGCUCUCCGCGAUGCUUGGGCUCUGCUCUGCCCACCCAAACGCGUGCCCCCCACGCACACACGAAUUCGGCGUGAAUUUAGGCACAAGCACCAAGAAAUCGGGGGAAAAAGGUAAAGAUCUGCGCCUCUGGUGGUGUCCUGCGCGCCUCUCGUUUUUUUUUUUCUUGUUUUUAUUUUUGGUGGAGCUUUCCUAGGAUUCGGUUUGGUUGAGAUUUUGAUUGCUUAGCUUGUGACGCGUCCAUCCUCAGCCGUCCAUACCUUUUCUUUUUUGUUGUAUUUUGAAAAUAUUUGUCCGCAUUAAAAAAAGAUAGUAGUAGUACGAACUUAAAUGAAAACAAAAAGAAAAUCACGUAAAUAUCAAAUCAUUCCAUUCAUUUCAUUUCACUCCAUCAAUAAACCAACCAAUCUCCAAGUCCACUUUGUUUUUUUUCCUCUUUAAAGAAAAACAAAAGAAAAAUACAUUCCUCCAUUUCCGCGUGAAGCGUCUGGAUCGAGAGUCUAGAGGCUAACUCUAGACGACGGCGUAGAGGAUGAUCUCCGCGGUGUCGGCGGCGGCCCGGGGCAUCCUCUUCGCGGCGAAGCCCGCGCAGCCGCCGCCGCCGCCGUCGGCCGAACCGGCGGCGGCGGAGGAAGACGGCGACGAGGAGGAGGACGGCGGCGGGUGGUAGUACAUCCUCGCCGUCUGCGGGCAGUGGGAGUGGAACCGCGCGGCGAUGCGCACCCCCAUGUCGAGCAGCUCCACGUACUUCCCCAUCGAUCUAUAUUCCCCUUCUUCCUCUCGGAUCUCCUUCCCUGCCAAAUAAAAUCAACGAAUCCCUCCCUGGCCUGCUCCUCCUACGAAUCAGCAGCUGUGGAUGCGAGCGGUGGGUGGCGCUAUUGCCUUGCUGUGGUUGCUUCGUGGAAGGAGGUGUCCCACGAGCUGGGAGCUGCCAUGGGAGGCGGAGGCGGAAGAAGAAGCGAUUUCUUUGGGGAGGAGAGAGUUGGAGGAGAGGAGAGGGGGCUUUUAUAGGGGGGAGGAGUCGCUUGAGGCUUGACUUGGAUGGAAGAUUUUUAAUGCGGUGUUGAUUAUUUGCCGUGUUUACUUCUUCCUCUCGCUUGGGCUGGGUUGGCUUGGGUUGGCGUUCGUUUCGUUUGGUUUCUCUCUCUCUCUUUUGUGUGAUUAGCAACGCGUGGAAGUGCUGCGUGACAGAUGCGUUUCUUCGCCUGCCUUUCAGAAAGAAAACGUUUUUGUUUUUUUUAUUUUCGUUUCUUUUCGCCAACUAGGGACUGGAGAGGCAUGCGAUUCCCAUGUUUUUAUUUCAAAAAUCCAAUAAGAGAGCAUGAUUUUUCAUUAACUCUAGAAUAUACUCCCUCCGUUUCAGGUUAUAAGACGUUUUGACUUUGCUUAAAGUUAAACUACUGUAAAUUUGUCUAAUUUUACAGAAAAUAUAUUAAAUUAUAGAUUUAAUGAAACAAUGCUGGUGUUGUAAAUAUUAAUACUUUCUUCUGUAGAAUUAGUCAAAUUUAAAAUAGUUUAACGUCUUAUAACCGGAAACGGAGGGAGUACAUUUUGAAAAAAAAAACACACCGCAUAUCUUUUUUUAAAAGACGACAUCACAUAUUUACCACAACACUGACGUGAGGUUUCUUUUUCUUUACACAUAUGGGCCAUGCGGGAACCUAGAAAUAUAGGAACAAUGGAGAAAUAUUAUAUUAAGAUAUUUUUUUAAAAAAAGAAAGAUUAGGAGCUUUCACUGUGGACUUUUUCAAAUACAAGUUUUAUAUUUAAGCGUAUAGGAAUGUUCAAUGCAUAUGGUUCUAUAGAGCUUAACUAAGAAUGAAUGAUGUCGCCUAGCACAUAUGGUUUGUUCUGAAUCUGGACUACUUUCGUGUGUUUCUAAUUGCAUAGAGAAUAAACUAGAGCUCUUACUUGGUGAAUUUUUCUUUUCCAAAGUCGAUUGUCCCACUAAUAUAUAUUAUCUCUUCAAAAGUACUUCAUCCGUUUCACAAUAUAAGUCAUUCUACAAUUUUCCACAUUCAUAUUAAUGUUAAUGAAUCUAAAUAAAUAUAUAUGUCUAGAUUCAUUAACAUCAAUAUGAAUAUGAAAAUGCUAGAAUGACUUACAUUAAGAAACGGAGAAACGGAGGAAGUAUUUUCUAGGAAUGCAAGCGGGCAGCAUGCUAUCAUGCGUAAGACAUACACAUCAGUUUAUUUUUCACCCACUAGUAUAUAAACAGAUAAAAAAGAUAAUGACAAUUACGGCUUAGUGGGCCUCAAAGCCUACAAACCCGCCUCACUUGCAUCUCUAAUAUUUCUUUUCCAUCAAAGCUUCCGGUGUUAUUUUUUUUUAAAAAAACAAAUGUUGUUUUUCUAAACAAACCACCUCACUGUACACAUGUACAUGUGAUUGAAUUUUACAUGUGUUUUCAAUAGUGUGUAAUAGUAUUUUGUUUUUUUCCUGUUUCUUAAUUUGCACUUUUCAACAACAAAAGAAAUAUAUAUAUUUUGGUUGAAACACAAGGUUGCUACCAAUAAGGAAAGAAAAAACAAAGAUCACUAGUGGAUCCAGUUCCAAGCUAGCAAAGCAGCAAGGCUAGAGGCCGAUAUGUAAACAUGACGAACCAAAAUACCAUGAAAUAGAUUAUGAGACUUGAUUUAUGUUGAAUUGUCGUCUCAUGUCAGCUCUCCUCGCCACCAAUGAAGCUCACCAUACAUAGAGGGUAAAAAAAAAUGAUAUAAUGCAUUCUACCAGUUUCUUUUCUCAAAUUAAGUUUUCGUUGAAAACGACUCAACUGUAACAAAAUAAAAUUCCCAACAAUUCCUACGAACCAUUCCUUCAUCAAUAAAAUACAAGUCUUCUAGCCCCUUUGCACAUUCACAUCCCUAUAAAACACACGCUGUGCUUACUCAUCGUCACAGCAGCAUCUAACUCCCAGUACAUUACAAAAAAAAAGUAAAUAUUACUCAGUUUUCUUUUAAAAAAAACGUAUUCGUAGGUAGGUAUGCGGCUGGUACGUGUUUGCUGGGAAGAUUCCAACUUGCUCCAGUUGCGAUAAAUUUCCAUGUUUAAAUUUCUCGUGUCGUGUAGCACAUAGCCUUUUUAAUUUUCAUUCGUUUUUUGUCAGCUACGGCCUCGCCCAGAUGAAACCUAGCUUGUUUUUUAGGCGAUUUUUGAAAAUGGAAUUUUAUUUGGCAAUAUGGGCUUUUUUUUCGUGGCGCAUAUGCGCGUUUGGUCCACGAAAUAUCCGGCUCGUGGGGUUCCGUUCACACGCGGGCGUCCUACGUGGCGCGUGCUCAGGGUUCGGUGUACUGGACUACUGGGGUGGUGGUUGGUGCGGUUGGCAGUUGUGCUCUCAUCUGGGCCGUCCAAACUGGGAAGCCAUCUCAUCCACUCCAUCCCUUUUGGCUUCUUCGUGUCAUUCCAUUCUCCAACACAACAGUUUGUUAUUAAAAUUGGAGUUUUAAAAGAAAAUUAAAAUCAACGGCUUGUUCCCUUUGUUAUUAAAAUUUGGUACUUACUCCGACUAAUGUUAUGAGACUUUCUAGUAUUGUCCACAUUUAUAUAUAUGUUAAUGAAUCUAGGCAUACAUGUGUGUCUAGAUUCAUUAAGAUCUAUAUGAAUGUGGCCAAUGCUAGAAAGUCUUAUAACCUGAAACAAAGGUAGUACUAAUUUUCAUACCUCCAUCUGAUCCUAAAUAUGAUAAUUUCUAGCUAUGUAUCUGGAUAGGGGCAUAUGCAUAUACAUAAGUAGAAAUUGCUAUAUUUCGAAAUGGAGGUAGUUCAAUUUUGUGUUAUCUUGAAUCUAUUUUAAUUUAGAGCCUUAUCGUAUUUUAUUAAUGUUUUUAUGAGAGAGUUUCUGAAACUACUCGAUUUUACUAUUAAAAUUUAAUAGGUUUGGAACUAAAUCUUACUAUUAAACUUUGAUAGGUUUGGAAGUAGCAAUGAUGUGAACACAACCCAACAGACAGCUGCUGGUGAUUGAUUUGUCUCGAGCUGAACUGGUGCUAAUCAUGCACGGUACUACUCCAGUAGUGAUUUUUG